UUAGAUCGAGGGAAGUCUAAAAUAGUUGAAUAGUCGACUCGUUUUCGUCCGAAAUUCGUAUGAGUUACUGUAGUUACUAAAGGCUCGGGGAUAGUCGAGGAUUGUCACCAUACUAUCGAACUCAUUUUGGUAUUUUUGAAAGUGUAAAUAUUUUGAAGUAUGGCAUGUAUAGGAUAGAAUGUCUAUGUAUUUAAGCUUUGAUAUGUAUAUAUAUGUUAUGCCAUGAGAGUUGGCUAACAAAUGGUAUGUUUGUGCUUAGUUUUGGUGAAUGGUUUGUGAUGCUAAAUUGUGUAUGCUUGUAAUGGUUAUAUGGCGUUAUAUGUGGUGAUCA
This is a long non-coding RNA of Gossypium arboreum, 331 nucleotides long. RefSeq lists it as uncharacterized. Lineage: Eukaryota; Viridiplantae; Streptophyta; Magnoliopsida; Malvales; Malvaceae. The record is from RefSeq and is a predicted model, not a curated record. The transcript is spliced from 2 exons.